Molecule: transfer RNA, 76 nt
Filed under: Opitutaceae bacterium
Lineage: Bacteria; Pseudomonadati; Verrucomicrobiota; Opitutia; Opitutales; Opitutaceae
Description: tRNA-Ala
Rfam family: tRNA
About the family: Transfer RNA (tRNA) molecules are approximately 80 nucleotides in length. Their secondary structure includes four short double-helical elements and three loops (D, anti-codon, and T loops).
Source: RNAcentral
GGGUCCUUAGCUCAGUUGGCAGAGCGCUUCAAUGGCAUUGAAGAGGUCAGCGGUUCGAGACCGCUAGGAUCCACCA